This 301-nucleotide ribosomal RNA is filed under the name uncultured bacterium. RNAcentral describes it as "partial 16S ribosomal RNA". It matches the Rfam family "Bacterial small subunit ribosomal RNA", at positions 509 to 807 of the family's 1533-position model. The record is from RNAcentral.
CAGUCGCCGCGGUAAUACGUAGGGUGCAAGCGUUGUCCGGAAUUAUUGGGCGUAAAGAGCUCGUAGGCGGUUUGUCGCGUCUGCUGUGAAAUCCCGAGGCUCAACCUCGGGCUUGCAGUGGGUACGGGCAGACUAGAGUGCGGUAGGGGAGAUUGGAAUUCCUGGUGUAGCGGUGGAAUGCGCAGAUAUCAGGAGGAACACCGAUGGCGAAGGCAGAUCUCUGGGCCGUAACUGACGCUGAGGUACGAAAGCAUGGGGAGCAAACAGGAUUAGAUACCCCUGUAGUCCCUGUCUCUUAUAC